AUGGUUCAGAUGGUGAUUCCCGCGUGGUGGGGAAAAGAUUCCGACGGCGGACGAAGCUCAGGGGAGGUUCCGGCGACAGUUCAGGUGAAUGGUUCUUGGAUUUUCGUUUUUUUUCUGAGUUGUGAUUUUGUCGGAGCAACCAAAAUGAUGGAGGACAAAGGAAAUCGUGGUCGAGAAGGCUUGGCAUGGAAAACCACUUUGGGAACACAAGGGAACUUGAAGAUGGGGAAGUUUUGA
Molecule: non-coding RNA, 237 nt
Organism: Vicia faba (fava bean)
Lineage: Eukaryota; Viridiplantae; Streptophyta; Magnoliopsida; Fabales; Fabaceae
Source: the annotation of a GenBank genome assembly